Molecule: ribosomal RNA, 480 nt
Filed under: Bacillus sp. (in: firmicutes)
Lineage: Bacteria; Bacillati; Bacillota; Bacilli; Caryophanales; Bacillaceae
Description: bacterial SSU rRNA
Rfam family: Bacterial small subunit ribosomal RNA
Source: RNAcentral
CACGUGGGCAACCUGCCUGUAAGACUGGGAUAACUUCGGGAAACCGAAGCUAAUACCGGAUAGGAUCUUCUCCUUCAUGGGAGAUGAUUGAAAGAUGGUUUCGGCUAUCACUUACAGAUGGGCCCGCGGUGCAUUAGCUAGUUGGUGAGGUAACGGCUCACCAAGGCAACGAUGCAUAGCCGACCUGAGAGGGUGAUCGGCCACACUGGGACUGAGACACGGCCCAGACUCCUACGGGAGGCAGCAGUAGGGAAUCUUCCGCAAUGGACGAAAGUCUGACGGAGCAACGCCGCGUGAGUGAUGAAGGCUUUCGGGUCGUAAAACUCUGUUGUUAGGGAAGAACAAGUACGAGAGUAACUGCUCGUACCUUGACGGUACCUAACCAGAAAGCCACGGCUAACUACGUGCCAGCAGCCGCGGUAAUACGUAGGUGGCAAGCGUUAUCCGGAAUUAUUGGGCGUAAAGCGCGCGCAGGCGGUU